AGCUCUCCGAGUGGUGUGGAUGGUUAUUGGGCUUAAAGCAUCCGUAGCCUGCUGAGCAAGUCCCCUGUUAAACCCAACGAUCUAAUCGUUGGUCUGCGGGGGAUACUGUUCGGCUAGGGGGCGGGAGAGGCCGCCGGUAUUCUCGGGGUAGGGGUGAAAUCCUAUAAUCCCGGGAGGACCACCAGUGGCGAAGACUGUCGGCUAGAACGCGCCCGACGGUGAGGGAUGAAAGCUGGGGGAGCGAACCG
This 248-nucleotide ribosomal RNA is filed under the name uncultured crenarchaeote. RNAcentral's name for it is "partial 16S ribosomal RNA". It matches the Rfam family "Archaeal small subunit ribosomal RNA", at positions 478 to 726 of the family's 1478-position model. The record is from RNAcentral. Lineage: Archaea; Thermoproteati; Thermoproteota.